AUACGAAAGGUGCAAGCGUUGUUCGGAUUUACUGGGCGUAAAGAGAGUGUAGGUGGUUUAUUAAGUCGGAUGUGAAAUCCCGGGGCUCAACCUCGGAACUGCAUUCGAUACUGAUAGGCUAGAGUUUGGGAGGGGUAAGCGGAAUUCCGUGUGUAGCAGUGAAAUGCGUAGAUAUACGGAGGAACACCUGAGGCGAAGGGGGCUUACUGGACCAAUACUGACACUGAGACUCGAAAGCGUGGGUAGCAAACAGGAUUAGAAACCCCAGUAGUCC
Molecule: ribosomal RNA, 274 nt
Filed under: uncultured bacterium
Lineage: Bacteria
Description: partial 16S ribosomal RNA
Rfam family: Bacterial small subunit ribosomal RNA
Source: RNAcentral